CCUACGGGAGGCAGCAGUGAGGAAUAUUGGUCAAUGGACGAGAGUCUGAACCAGCCAAGCAGCGUGAAGGAUGACUGCCCUAUGGGUUGUAAACUUCUUUUAUAAAGGAAUAAAACGAGGCACGUGUGCCUUUUUGCAUGUACUUUAUGAAUAAGGAUCGGCUAACUCCGUGCCAGCAGCCGCGGUAAUACGGAGGAUCCGAGCGUUAUCCGGAUUUAUUGGGUUUAAAGGGAGCGUAGAUGGGUUGUUAAGUCAGUUGUGAAAGGUUGCGGCUCAACCGUAAAAGUGCAAUUGAUACUGGCAGUCUUGAGUACAGUAGAGGUAGGCGGAAUUCGUGGUGUAGCGGUGAAAUGCUUAGAUAUCACGAAGAACCCCGAUUGCGAAGGCAGCUUACUAAACUGUGACUGACAUUGAUGCUCGAAAGUGUGGGUAUCAAACAGGAUUAGAUACCCUUGUAGUC
This 460-nucleotide ribosomal RNA is filed under the name uncultured bacterium. RNAcentral describes it as "partial 16S ribosomal RNA". It matches the Rfam family "Bacterial small subunit ribosomal RNA", at positions 338 to 795 of the family's 1533-position model. The record is from RNAcentral.